GUUAGGAAUAUUGGACAAUGGGCGAAAGCCUGAUCCAGCCAUGCCGCGUGAACGAUGAAGGCCUUCGGGUUGUAAAGCUCUUUAGUCCACGAAUAUAAUGACUGUAGUGGAAGAAUAAGCCCCGGCUAACUUCGUGCCAGCAGCCGCGGUAAUACGAAGGGGGCGAGCGUUAUUCGGAAUCACUGGGCGUAAAGCGUGCGUAGGCUGUUUUGUAAGUCAGAAGUGAAAGCCCUGGGCUUAACCCUGGAAUUGCUUUUGAAACUACAAGACUCGAAUUCGGGAGAGGAUAGCGGAAUUGUCAGUGUAGCAGUGAAAUGCGUAGAUAUUGACAGGAACACCAGUGGCGCAAGCGGCUAUCUGGACCGAUAUUGACGCUGAGGCACGAAAGCGUGGGGAGCAAACAGGAUUAGAUACCCUGGUAGUCC
RNAcentral lists this ribosomal RNA (425 nucleotides) under uncultured bacterium. RNAcentral describes it as "partial 16S ribosomal RNA". It matches the Rfam family "Bacterial small subunit ribosomal RNA", at positions 354 to 796 of the family's 1533-position model. The record is from RNAcentral.